Long non-coding RNA from Chenopodium quinoa (quinoa), 1086 nucleotides. RefSeq lists it as uncharacterized. The transcript has 3 exons. NCBI's taxonomy places the organism in Eukaryota, Viridiplantae, Streptophyta, Magnoliopsida, Caryophyllales, Amaranthaceae. The record is from RefSeq and is a predicted model, not a curated record.
UCAAUCCGAUCCAAUCCGACUUAAAGUUCGGAUUUGAUCCGAAUUGAUAAUUCGAUCUGGAUUGGAUUUCGAUUUUAAUCCGAAUUGUGGACACCCGUACCCCUCUCUCUCCUCCUCUUUCUGUCUUUCACCCUCUAUCCUCCUCUUCUCUUCUUCCUCAAGAUCGAGUUGGCCAGUCCUAGCAAUGACGGCAUUAGCGCUAUGAGUUGAUACAAAUCCACCUUUCAUCGUUUCCCCCUCUCGAAAUGAUCGAUUUUCCUAAAAUGUGGCUUUCUCAAUUACACGCAGCACUGCAAAUUACUCAAUUUUGACGACAUUUAAAUAAAUCGAUUAAACAGCAAAGACGGCCAUGAAAAUUGACAUCGAACGCGAAGGCAACACAUAUUUGAUCACCAUGGGGAAAGACAAAAUCACGGCUACAUGUCCAAAGAGACUCUAUCCAUGGUCAGAGCAAUCGCAGUCGGAGGCGAAGGAGUGGGUCAGUAAUGUUAAAAAGAUUUAUCGAAACAGGAACAAGAAGCAACCCCUUGUGGUUGGCCUCUACGCAGUUCGGAAAUUCGACCAUUCUGAUGGUCAAGCAGAGUUAUAUCUUAAGCCUAAGCAGGUUAAAUGUAUGCAAAUCCUUUCCCUAUCCUUCAAUUCUAUGUUUUAUGAUGAAUUUAUACAAUUUGCUGUUUAAAGUUUUUAACCAUAUAAUAAGAAUUAUACCUUAACCAAAUGUAGCAUAUUCUUAAUAUAUGAUAAGAACUUCAUAAGUCCAUAAUAGGUAUCUUCUAUCUUGUAUAGAAAGUAUGUGAAUAAUGUGGAUGUCAACGAGGUUGAUUAAAUUCUUAGGGUAAUAUAUGAGUAUAUGAUGUGUAAUCAUAUGAACCACGAGUAUAUGAGGUCUUUUCUGACUAAUUGUGGAAUUGAUUUAUUGGAGUGUGUAUUUUCUAGAUGCUGGGUAUUGUAUUGUUCUUUGUAAAAUUUGGACUGGUGUUCCAAAAUGUUGCCUUCAAGUCUUCAGUGUUGUGUAUUCAGAAAAGGAAAACUUUUGUAUACACCCGGUUUUCAGUAAUUUACUGUACAUUGGGUACACUUUUGUCA